UUAUCCGUAUAGUUCAUUUUCUGUGUUGCAUCACUAUCAAUUUUUCUGUCAAGGAAAGAAGGUGGUCCUGAAUUGAGCAGUAUAUGCGAUUCCGACCUACAAGACAACAGCCUAAUAAUAAACACUAUUGAACAAUUACAGAAUUCAGCGGAAGGCAGCUAACAAAAUAGCCUUGCAUCAAGUAGCAAGUUGAAAAAGAGCACAAAUAGAGUUGGUCAUGUUGUAUAAAAGUUCUUUUGGAUUAUGGUCAUUUAUUUUUAUUUCAAUAUGAAGUACUGUGUCUACUAUCAUCAUGGAAAGUGAAAAAUAAAACUAAAUUUAUGUUGGCCUGUGCUGGCACAGACCACCGCCGCCUAGUACUUACUUAGAAGAGACGGAGUUUAACGUUUUAGCUUGUUGGCAAUAAAUUCGAAUCUAAGGGUAUUAUAGAUAUUUUGCACUGCCCUAAGACACGUUUCAUAUAUCCUGCCGCUCAAUAGCCAUGUAUUACUUUCUCUAUAGCCUUCCAUAUUCCAUCGGCAUCAUUCUUGCUCCUUUUUACUAACUUUUCAUUCUCCUUUGAUUUUUUUGUGAUUUAUCUCUAAAAUUUAUUAUUAUCAAGUUUGAUCCAACAAAUCUUUUGAGAGGAGAAAUCGGGUUCUUGAAGCUCCAUUUUUUGCUCUAUUCAAGGUAACUCAAUAACUUAAAGUUAGUUUUAUAGUCUAUUUCAUCACUUUUGCUUCAACAUGUGUUGUGCUGAUCGGAUUUGAGAUUUUAACAUGAGUUUUUAAACUGGGUAUCUUAGGAUAAGGGUAAUAUUUUUUUAAAUUAAAUAAUUAAUUAUUUUUUACCUGCUCUUUAUAGGUUUCUUAUGUAUGUGGAUGUUACCUGACUGGUUCUGGAAAACUUGUCUAUUUACUUGUUUAAUCAUUUUAUAUGUGACAUGUAUUCUUAUGGGACCUAAAUGUAUCUUCAUAUUCAAAGCUAAUUUUGUUGUGUGAAUUUUUGCGAGAAUAAGAAUUGCUAACAGGAAAGAAGAUUCAGAGUAAAAAUAUGUUGGCAUAGACUUGACAAUCUAAUGAAAUAAAAAGGUGGAGAACUUGGGUGAUUAUGAAGAUGUGUUGAAUAUACUCCACUUCCUCUCAGAAACGGAGACAAAAGCUCAAAAAACAAUCUGUAUGAUAAGUUGCAGUUUCUUGCAAGCUCCAUACUCUUGAUAUAGAGCAUGUAUAGAUACUUUACAAUUUAUCUCCUUCUGCUGCUGCUGCUGUUAUUAGUAGUAUUAUUAGUAUUAUUACAUUCAAAUACAUUAUCUCAUUACUGUUAAAGCUAGUUAAUGAUUAAAGCUAGCUAAGUUGGUGUGAAUGAGAAAUGGAGGG
This 1358-nucleotide long non-coding RNA is filed under the name Nicotiana benthamiana. RNAcentral's name for it is "long non-coding RNA (NBEN_LNC042601)". Lineage: Eukaryota; Viridiplantae; Streptophyta; Magnoliopsida; Solanales; Solanaceae. The record is from RNAcentral.